This 497-nucleotide ribosomal RNA is filed under the name uncultured bacterium. RNAcentral's name for it is "partial 16S ribosomal RNA". It matches the Rfam family "Bacterial small subunit ribosomal RNA", at positions 28 to 507 of the family's 1533-position model. The record is from RNAcentral.
GAUGAACGCUGGCGGCGUGCCUAAUACAUGCAAGUAGAACGCUGAAGGAAGGAGCUUGCUCUUUCCGGAUGAGUUGCGAACGGGUGAGUAACGCGUAGGUAACCUGCCUGGUAGCGGGGGAUAACUAUUGGAAACGAUAGCUAAUACCGCAUAACAGUAGAUGUUGCAUGUUAUCUACUUAAAAGGUGCAAUUGCACCACUACCAGAUGGACCUGCGUUGUAUUAGCUAGUUGGUGAGGUAACGGCUCACCAAGGCGACGAUACAUAGCCGACCUGAGAGGGUGAUCGGCCACACUGGGACUGAGACACGGCCCAGACUCCUACGGGAGGCAGCAGUAGGGAAUCUUCGGCAAUGGACGGAAGUCUGACCGAGCAACGCCGCGUGAGUGAAGAAGGUUUUCGGAUCGUAAAGCUCUGUUGUAAGAGAAGAACGAGUGUGAGAGUGGAAAGUUCACACUGUGACGGUAUCUUACCAGAAAGAGACGGCUAACUACGUG